This 1345-nucleotide ribosomal RNA is filed under the name uncultured bacterium. RNAcentral describes it as "bacterial SSU rRNA". It matches the Rfam family "Bacterial small subunit ribosomal RNA", at positions 28 to 1381 of the family's 1533-position model. The record is from RNAcentral.
GAUGAACGCUAGCGGGAGGCCUAACACAUGCAAGCCGAGCGGUAUUGUUUCUUCGGAAAUGAGAGAGCGGCGUACGGGUGCGGAACACGUGUGCAACCUGCCUUUAUCUGGGGGAUAGCCUUUCGAAAGGAAGAUUAAUACUCCAUAACAUAUUGAUUGGCAUCAAUUAAUAUUGAAAGCUCCGGCGGAUAGAGAUGGGCACGCGCAAGAUUAGCUAGUUGGUGAGGUAACGGCUCACCAAGGCGAUGAUCUUUAGGGGGCCUGAGAGGGUGAUCCCCCACACUGGUACUGAGACACGGACCAGACUCCUACGGGAGGCAGCAGUGAGGAAUAUUGGUCAAUGGGUGCAAGCCUGAACCAGCCAUCCCGCGUGAAGGACGACUGCCCUAUGGGUUGUAAACUUCUUUUGUAUAGGGAUAAACCUACCCUCGUGAGGGUAGCUGAAGGUACUAUACGAAUAAGCACCGGCUAACUCCGUGCCAGCAGCCGCGGUAAUACGGAGGGUGCAAGCGUUAUCCGGAUUUAUUGGGUUUAAAGGGUCCGUAGGCGGACUUAUAAGUCAGUGGUGAAAGCCUGUCGCUUAACGAUAGAACUGCCAUUGAUACUGUAAGUCUUGAGUAUAUUUGAGGUAGCUGGAAUAAGUAGUGUAGCGGUGAAAUGCAUAGAUAUUACUUAGAACACCAAUUGCGAAGGCAGGUUACCAAGAUAUAACUGACGCUGAGGGACGAAAGCGUGGGGAGCGAACAGGAUUAGAUACCCUGGUAGUCCACGCCGUAAACGAUGCUAACUCGUUUUUGGGCUUUAGGGUUCAGAGACCAAGCGAAAGUGAUAAGUUAGCCACCUGGGGAGUACGCUCGCAAGAGUGAGACUCAAAGGAAUUGACGGGGGCCCGCACAAGCGGUGGAUUAUGUGGUUUAAUUCGAUGAUACGCGAGGAACCUUACCAAGACUUAAAUGGGAAUUGACAGCUUUAGAAAUAGAACUUUCUUCGGACAAUUUUCAAGGUGCUGCAUGGUUGUCGUCAGCUCGUGCCGUGAGGUGUUAGGUUAAGUCCUGCAACGAGCGCAACCCCUGUCACUAGUUGCCAUCAUUCAGUUGGGGACUCUAGUGAGACUGCCUACGCAAGUAGAGAGGAAGGUGGGGAUGACGUCAAAUCAUCACGGCCCUUACGUCUUGGGCCACACACGUAAUACAAUGGCCGGUACAGAGGGCAGCUACACAGCGAUGUGAUGCAAAUCUCGAAAGCCGGUCUCAGUUCGGAUUGGAGUCUGCAACUCGACUCUAUGAAGCUGGAAUCGCUAGUAAUCGCGCAUCAGCCAUGGCGCGGUGAAUACGUUCCCGGGCCU